CCUACGGGUGGCAGCAGUGGGGAAUAUUGCACAAUGGGGGAAACCCUGAUGCAGCGACGCCGCGUGAGUGAAGAAGUAAUUCGUUAUGUAAAGCUCUAUCAGCAGGGAAGAAAAUGACGGUACCUGAGUAAGAAGCCCCGGCUAACUACGUGCCAGCAGCCGCGGUAAUACGUAGGGGGCAAGCGUUAUCCGGAUUUACUGGGUGUAAAGGGAGCGUAGACGGCAGUGCAAGUCUGGAGUGAAAGGCGGGGGCUCAACCCCCGGGACUGCUCUUGGAACUGCGCGGCUGGAGUGCAGGAGGGGCAGGCGGAAUUCCUGGUGUAGCGGUGAAAUGCGUAGAUAUCAGGAGGAACACCGGUGGCGAAGGCGGCCUGCUGGACUGCGACUGACGUUGAGGCCCGAAAGCGUGGGGAGCAAACAGGAUUAGAUACCCUGGUAGUC
RNAcentral lists this ribosomal RNA (441 nucleotides) under uncultured bacterium. Its description in RNAcentral is "partial 16S ribosomal RNA". It matches the Rfam family "Bacterial small subunit ribosomal RNA", at positions 338 to 795 of the family's 1533-position model. The record is from RNAcentral.